This 326-nucleotide small RNA is filed under the name Histoplasma capsulatum var. duboisii H88. RNAcentral describes it as "Histoplasma capsulatum H88 hypothetical RNA". Lineage: Eukaryota; Fungi; Ascomycota; Eurotiomycetes; Onygenales; Ajellomycetaceae. The record is from RNAcentral.
CAACCCAACUCCAGCUCUCUCUCUCUCUAUCUUUCUCUAUCCUUCUCUCCUCUCCCAAUGUCCUGCCUCCCAUAUCCAUUUUCUCCUUUGGUUGUUAGAAAUACAGCCAUCCCCAUCUUUCAGCUUUACGAGCUGUUCACAGCUCUCCCCUCCCGCUUCCCGCUCUAAGCUGCAACGGAGCAGGGACAGAGCUAUUUCCCCCAUCUCCCACUUUCUCAUUUCCAUCUUCCCCUUCUUGAUUCCACCUUAGAUAGCACCGACAUCUCUCACCACUCCCGCGAGCGCAAUCCAUGGCCACGGCUCUGGCCCCGGGCGCUGCCCACGCC